UUUAGUCAUACUUAUCAUACUAAAAAUGCACAGCAAAUUUUUCACAUCACACCACAAGACUUUAGUCAAGAGAACUAAGAAAAAUACUCAUAAUUGUAACUCAAAAACCAAAGAAAAAAACAUGCAAUUUUUUUUUAAGAAAGCAAAUAAAAACCAAAACAGAGAAAAAACAAAGAAAAUAAAACAAAUAAAUGGUUCCCUCCCCCACACUUAAAACAUACGUUGUCCUCAAUGAAAGAGCAUAAAUAUAAAAUAAGAGUGAGAGAAA
Molecule: long non-coding RNA, 268 nt
Filed under: Lathyrus oleraceus (garden pea)
Lineage: Eukaryota; Viridiplantae; Streptophyta; Magnoliopsida; Fabales; Fabaceae
Description: Pisum sativum (pea) long non-coding RNA (PSAT_LNC012825)
Source: RNAcentral